RNAcentral lists this ribosomal RNA (1372 nucleotides) under uncultured bacterium. Its description in RNAcentral is "partial 16S ribosomal RNA". It matches the Rfam family "Bacterial small subunit ribosomal RNA". The record is from RNAcentral.
GAGUUUGAUCAUGGCUCAGGAUGAACGCUGACAGAAUGCUUAACACAUGCAAGUCAACUUGAAUUUGGGUUUUUAACUUAGAUUUGGGUGGCGGACGGGUGAGUAACGCGUAAAGAACUUGCCUCACAGCUAGGGACAACAUUUAGAAAUGAAUGCUAAUACCUGAUAUUAUGAUUUUAAGGCAUCUUAGAAUUAUGAAAGCUAUAAGCACUGUGAGAGAGCUUUGCGUCCCAUUAGCUAGUUGGAGAGGUAACAGCUCACCAAGGCGAUGAUGGGUAGCCGGCCUGAGAGGGUGAACGGCCACAAGGGGACUGAGGCACGGCCCUUACUCCUACGGGAGGCAGCAGUGGGGAAUAUUGGACAAUGGACCGAGAGUCUGAUCCAGCAAUUCUGUGUGCACGAUGAAGUUUUUCGGAAUGUAAAGUGCUUUCAGUUGGGAAGAAAUAAAUGACGGUACCAACAGAAGAAGUGACGGCUAAAUACGUGCCAGCAGCCGCGGUAAUACGUAUGUCACGAGCGUUAUCCGGAUUUAUUGGGCGUAAAGCGCGUCUAGGUGGUUAUGUAAGUCUGAUGUGAAAAUGCAGGGCUCAACUCUGUAUUGCGUUGGAAACUGUAUAACUAGAGUACUGGAGAGGUAAGCGGAACUACAAGUGUAGAGGUGAAAUUCGUAGAUAUUUGUAGGAAUGCCGAUGGGGAAGCCAGCUUACUGGACAGAUACUGACGCUAAAGCGCGAAAGCGUGGGUAGCAAACAGGAUUAGAUACCCUGGUAGUCCACGCUGUAAACGAUGAUUACUAGGUGUUGGGGGUCGAACCUCAGCGCCCAAGCAAACGCGAUAAGUAAUCCACCUGGGGAGUACGCCGGCAACGGUGAAACUCAAAGGAAUUGACGGGGGCCCGCACAAGCGGAGGAACAUGUGGUUUAAUUCGAUGAUACGCGAGGAACCUUACCCGGGAUUGAAAUGUAGACGACGGAGAGUGAGAGCUUUCUUCCCUUCGGGGCGUCUAUGUAGGUGCUGCAUGGUUGUCGUCAGCUCGUGCCGUGAGGUGUCGGCUUAAGUGCCAUAACGAGCGCAACCCUGACUGUCAGUUGCUAACAGGUAAAGCUGAGGACUCUGGCGGGACUGCCGGCGUAAGCUGUGAGGAAGGUUGGGAUGACGUCAAAUCAGCACGGCCCUUACAUCCGGGGCGACACACGUGUUACAAUGGCAGGGACAAAGGGCAGCUACCGGGCGACCGGAUGCCAAUCUCCAAACCCUGUCUCAGUUCGGAUCGGAGUCUGCAACUCGACUCCGUGAAGCUGGAUUCGCUAGUAAUCGCGCAUCAGCCAUGGCGCGGUGAAUACGUUCCCGGGCCUCGCACACACCGCCCGUC